AUGGCUCAGCCGCUCACGCUCCUCGCCGCCGCUCUCCUCGCAGCCACCGUCUCCGUCUCGCUCGCCGCGGCCUCCGCGGCAACAGUGGAGUUCCCAAAGGAGGCCCUGCCGACCAGCUCCGGCUACCUGCCGGUGGACUCGCGCACCAACGCCUCCCUAUUCUACGCCUUCUACGAGGCCAGCCACCCGGUCUCCGCGCCGGUCGACACGCCGUUGCUCCUCUGGCUGCAGGGAGGGCCCGGCUGCUCUGGCCUUGUCGGCAACUUCUUCGAGCUCGGCCCCUACCUCGUCGCCCCGGACGCCGCCUCGCUCUCCCGCAACCCCUUCGCCUGGAACCGCCGCUUCGGGCUCCUCUUCCUCGACAGCCCGCUCGGCACCGGCUUCAGCGCCGCGCCGUCCCCCGCCGCCAUCCCGCGGGACCAGGCCGCCGUCGCCGCGCACGUCCUCGCCGCGCUCCAGUCGUUCUUCGACGCCAGCCCGGCUUCCUUCCGCGCGCGCCCCUUCUUCCUCUCCGGCGAGAGCUACGCCGGCAAGUACGUCCCGGCCGCCGGGGCGCACAUCCUCGCCGCGAACCCGGGCCUGCCGGCGGGGCGGCGGGUCAACCUACGCGGCGCCGCCAUCGGCAACGGGCUGACGCACCCGGUCGCGCAGCUGCCCACGCACGCCGACUCGGCCUACUUCACGGGGCUCAUCAACGCGCGGCAGCGGCGGGAGCUGGAGGCGCUGCAGGCCGAGGCGGUGGCGCUGGCACGGGCGGCGCGGUGGCGGGAGGCGUCGGACGCGCGGGGCCGCGUGCGCUCGUGGCUGCAGAACGCCACCGGGCUCGCCACGCUCUACGACUUGGGCAGGCAGCGGCCCUACGCGACGGCGACCGUGGCGCGGUUCGUGAACCGGGCGGAGGUGAAGGCGGCGCUGGGCGCGCGCCGGGACGUGUCCUGGGAGCAGUGCAGCCGCGCAGUGAGGGAGGCGAUGCACGACGACAUGAUGAAGAGCGUCAAGCCGGAGGUGGAGGCGCUGCUCCGGCGGCGGACGCGCGUGCUGCUGUACCAGGGCAUCCGCGACCCCUGGAUCGGCGUGGCGUCGCAGGAGGCGUGGAUGAAGGAGCUCAGCUGGGCCGAGCUGCGCGCGUUCCAGAAGGCCGAGCGCGUCGUCUGGCGGACCGGCGGCGGCGGCGAGGAGACGGAGCUCGCCGGGUACGUGCAGCGGUCGGGGGCGCUGACGCACGCCGUGGUGUACGGCGCUGGGCACAUGGUGCCGGCCGACAACGGGCGCGCGGCGCAGGAGAUGAUCGAGGGGUGGGUCACAGAGACAGGGGUGUUCGGCGGUGGCGUUUUACUCGGGCUGAUGCCGGCCGGUGGCCAGAUCGCUGCGUCCUGA
This 1377-nucleotide ribosomal RNA is filed under the name Triticum aestivum (bread wheat). Its description in RNAcentral is "partial small subunit ribosomal RNA". The record is from RNAcentral. Lineage: Eukaryota; Viridiplantae; Streptophyta; Magnoliopsida; Poales; Poaceae.